CAAAGGUUCUCUCAGUACGGUCGGAAAUCGUACGUAGAGUGUAAAGGCAAAAGAGGGCUUGAUUGCAAGACAUACAGGUCGAGCAAGGAUGAAAAUCGGACUUAGUGAUCCGGUGGUGCUGCGUGGAAGGGCCAUCGCUCAACGGAUAAAAGCUACCCUGGGGAUAACAGGCUUAUCUCCCCCAAGAGUCCACAUCGACGGGGAGGUUUGGCACCUCGAUGUCGGCUCAUCACAUCCUGGGGCUG
This 245-nucleotide ribosomal RNA is filed under the name Clostridioides difficile. RNAcentral describes it as "partial 23S ribosomal RNA". It matches the Rfam family "Bacterial large subunit ribosomal RNA", at positions 2311 to 2555 of the family's 2925-position model. Lineage: Bacteria; Bacillati; Bacillota; Clostridia; Peptostreptococcales; Peptostreptococcaceae. The record is from RNAcentral.